UUUUCAGUGUCGCAGGGAAACCGAUAAACACACCGCCUGGGGAGUACGACCGCAAGGUUAAAACUCAAAUGAAUUGACGGGGACCCGCACAAGUAGUGGAGCAUGUGGUUUAAUUCGAAGAUACGCGCAGAACCUUACCAACACUUGACAUGUUCGUCGCGACUCUAAGAGAUUAGAGUUUUCGGUUCGGCCGGACGAAACACAGGUGCUGCAUGGCUGUCGUCAGCUCGUGUCGUGAGAUGUUGGGUUAAGUCCCGCAACGAGCGCAACCCUCACUUUUAGUUGCCAUCAUUAAGUUGGGCACUCUGAAAGAACUGCCAGUGAUAAGCUGGAGGAAGGUGGGGAUGACGUCAAGUCCUCAUGGCCCUUACGUGUUGGGCUACACACGUGCUACAAUGGUAUCUACAACAGGAAGCAAAACUGCGAAGUUAAGCAAAUCCCUAAAAGAUACCUCAGUUCGGAUUGCACUCUGCAACUCGAGUGCAUGAAGCUGGAAUUACUAGUAAUCGUGGAUCAGCGUGCCACGGUGAAUGCGUUCCCGGGUCUUGUACACACCGCCCGUCACACCAUGGGAGUUGGUUCUACCUUAAGGCAAGGUUUCAAACCCUUGACCACGGUAUAGUCAGCGACUGGGGUGAAGUCGUAACAAGGUAGCCGUAGGGGAACCUGCGGCUGGAUUACCUCCUU
RNAcentral lists this ribosomal RNA (687 nucleotides) under uncultured marine alpha proteobacterium. Its description in RNAcentral is "bacterial SSU rRNA". It matches the Rfam family "Bacterial small subunit ribosomal RNA", at positions 837 to 1532 of the family's 1533-position model. The record is from RNAcentral. Lineage: Bacteria; Pseudomonadati; Pseudomonadota; Alphaproteobacteria.